RNAcentral lists this ribosomal RNA (468 nucleotides) under uncultured bacterium. RNAcentral describes it as "partial 16S ribosomal RNA". It matches the Rfam family "Bacterial small subunit ribosomal RNA", at positions 28 to 507 of the family's 1533-position model. The record is from RNAcentral.
GACGAACGCUGGCGGCGUGCUUAACACAUGCAAGUCGAACGGAAAGGCCCUGAUUUUGUGGGGUGCUCGAGUGGCGAACGGGUGAGUAACACGUGAGUAACCUGCUCUUGACUUUGGGAUAACUUCAGGAAACUGGGGCUAAUACCGGAUAGGAGCUCCCGUUGCAUGGUGGGCGUGGGAAAGUUUCGGCGGUCGGGGAUGGACGCGCGGCUGAUCAGCUUGUUGGUGGGGGAGUGGCUUACCAAGGCUUGGGCGGGUAGCCGGCCUGAGAGGGUGACCGGCCACAUUGGUACUAAGAGACGGCCCAGACUCCUACGGUAGGCAGCGGUGGGGAAUAUUGCACAAUGGGCGGGAGCCUGAUGCAGCGGCGCCGCGUGCGGGAUGACGGCCUUCGGGGUGUAAACCGCUUUCGCCUGUGACGAAGCGUGAGUGACGGUAAUGGGUAAAGAAGCACCGGCUAACUACGUG